This 433-nucleotide ribosomal RNA is filed under the name uncultured bacterium. Its description in RNAcentral is "partial 16S ribosomal RNA". It matches the Rfam family "Bacterial small subunit ribosomal RNA", at positions 28 to 507 of the family's 1533-position model. The record is from RNAcentral.
AACGAACGCUGGCGGCAUGCCUAACACAUGCAAGUCGAACGAGACCCUCGGGGCUAGCGGCGCACGGGCGCGUAAGGCGGGGGAACCUGCCCGUAGGUUCGGAAUAACUCCCCGAGAGGGGUGCGAAGACCGGAGCAUCUCUUCGGACCAAAGUUUUAUCGCCUUUGGAUGGGCGCGCGUUGGAUUAGCUGGUUGGUAGGGGAAAAGCCUACCAAGGCCACGAUGCAUAGCUGGUCUGUGAGGAUGAUCCGCCACGCUGGGACUGCGACCCGGCCCAGACUCCUACGGGAGGCAGCAGUGGGGAAUAUUGGACGAUGGACGCAGGCCUGAUCCCGCCGUGCCGCGUGAGUGAUGAAGGCCUUAGGGUUGUACAGCUCUUUUACACGGGAUGAUAAUGACGGUACCGGGAGAAUAAGCUCCGGCUAACUCCGUG